RNAcentral lists this long non-coding RNA (447 nucleotides) under Gossypium raimondii (Peruvian cotton). RNAcentral's name for it is "long non-coding RNA (GRAI_LNC009475)". Lineage: Eukaryota; Viridiplantae; Streptophyta; Magnoliopsida; Malvales; Malvaceae. The record is from RNAcentral.
AAACAACCCAACAAGCUAACAGCUUUUCAGACCCUGAAGGGGGUGGAGGAGUGUGGUAAUAAAAUGGGAAGUAAGGAACAAUGGGGUUCGGAGGUGGCGGUGUUGGGUAGUUUUUGUACGUCGGUGGAGGGUAGUACAUGCCGCCAAUGACACCACCAGGCGGUGGGGGAGCAUAGUUGUUGUUGUUACCCCCGGAUUGAGCUGGUGGUGGUGGAGAGUAGUAGUAGCUGCCACCACCACUAGAGGUGGGUGGAGAUGGAGGUGGUGGGCAGUAGUUGGGGUUAUUAGCGGGAGGAGGUGGCGAAGCUGCAGGCGGCGGUGGAGACGGUGGCGGCGGAGAUGGGACUUGCUGCUGGCAAGGGGUGCAUUUUAUGGGAUCGGUACUAGUUUCUUCUGAAAGUACUGAACUCAGUAGCAUCAUCAGCAAUGUCGAAACGACAGUGAUCG